Molecule: ribosomal RNA, 254 nt
Filed under: uncultured bacterium
Lineage: Bacteria
Description: partial 16S ribosomal RNA
Rfam family: Bacterial small subunit ribosomal RNA
Source: RNAcentral
UACGGAGGGGGCUAGCGUUAUUCGGAAUUAUUGGGCGUAAAGGGCUCGUAGGCGGCCAACUAAGUCAGACGUGAAAUCCCUCGGCUUAACCGGGGAACUGCGUCUGAUACUGGAUGGCUUGAGUUUGGGAGAGGGAUGCGGAAUUCCAGGUGUAGCGGUGAAAUGCGUAGAUAUCUGGAGGAACACCGGUGGCGAAGGCGGCAUCCUGGACCAACACUGACGCUGAGUGAGCGAAAGCCAGGGGAGCAAACGGG